GCCGGAAUAGCUUGGUUGGGAGAGCGUUAGACUGAAGAUCUAAAGGUCCCUGGUUUUAAUCCGGGGUUUCGGCA
Non-coding RNA from Oncorhynchus gorbuscha (pink salmon), 74 nucleotides. The record is from the annotation of a RefSeq genome assembly. Lineage: Eukaryota; Metazoa; Chordata; Actinopteri; Salmoniformes; Salmonidae.